This 85-nucleotide transfer RNA is filed under the name Felis catus (domestic cat). It matches the Rfam family "tRNA". Rfam says of the family: Transfer RNA (tRNA) molecules are approximately 80 nucleotides in length. Their secondary structure includes four short double-helical elements and three loops (D, anti-codon, and T loops). Further hydrogen bonds mediate the characteristic L-shaped molecular structure. tRNAs have two regions of fundamental functional importance: the anti-codon, which is responsible for specific mRNA codon recognition, and the 3' end, to which the tRNAs corresponding amino acid is attached (by aminoacyl-tRNA synthetases). tRNAs cope with the degeneracy of the genetic code in two manners: having more than one tRNA (with a specific anti-codon) for a particular amino acid; and 'wobble' base-pairing, i.e. permitting non-standard base-pairing at the 3rd anti-codon position. The record is from Rfam by way of RNAcentral. Lineage: Eukaryota; Metazoa; Chordata; Mammalia; Carnivora; Felidae.
GCCUGGGUGGCUCAGUCGGUGGAGCGUCCGACUUUGGCUCGGGUCAUGAUCUCACAGUCUGUGAGUUCGAGCCCCGCGUCGGGCU